This 1191-nucleotide long non-coding RNA is filed under the name Mus musculus (house mouse). Its description in RNAcentral is "predicted gene, 35521, transcript variant 2 (Gm35521)". The record is from RNAcentral. Lineage: Eukaryota; Metazoa; Chordata; Mammalia; Rodentia; Muridae.
GAGUCUUCGGUGUAGGAGUUGUGCUGUAGAUGUAUCAUUUGGGGCUGGAAAUAGCUCUGUCAUUUGAUUUCUAUAUUUUGAGGAGUUGUAUCUUUUUGUAAUGGUCUCCUUCUCCAAUAAAAGAAGCCCCAUUGGAAAGGAAGGAACGCUACACUUGCAUGGGGGUGUAAGGUUCCAGGAAAUGGUUAUAUGGCCACAGAAAAUAAAAUAAAAAGAAGUAACAUAAAAUGAAUAUGAAUAACAUGAAUGAAGAAAAAGGAUUUAAGGAGAGAGAGAGAGAUUAGAGAAAGGAUUAAACUUUUGGAGGCAGGAAGAUGGUAACAGGUCAAUAUUUCAGCUCUUCACUUCUAGAAGAAAGUCAUGAAUUUGAACUACACAGACCAUAGAAAACUGAAGAGCAAUCAUUGCCAACACUGAAUUGUCAUGGUCCCUGCCGUAUGUCUUUAUCAAGAAGACUACAUUUAGCCUAAUCAUCUGACAAGCGUUGAAGAAACUUUAUCAUUUAUGUUUUACAAACUCCAUGGUUGAUGAUGAGAAGAAAUAGAAAAAGGCAAGUCAGAGUUUCCAGAGUCAGCAAAUUUGAGGACAAGGAGAUCACUCAGACCAGCCAAGCAGACAGUAAAUGAAUCCCUGUAUUGUUCUAUUUUUUUUUCUCCUUCUACAAAUCAUUUCCUCAUUUUAAGUAAAGAAGGAAAUAGAAGGCUGAGAACUUUGGCUGGAACUGGCUUUUUCAAAGCAUUUCUCACAAAUGUGAAGAGGAACCGGGGGUUGCAAGGUUCUGUAGGAAGAGCGAUGUAGCCUCGGCCACACGGAGAUGAAAGAGCCACAUUUUCCUAAGUAUUUCUUCUGUGAUUGGAGUUUCAAAGGAUUUAAAAGGGCAGCGGGGCGGAUGCUUGCUUUGUGACAAUGUAGUUCUGGCUGGGAAGCAGUGUGCUUAGAGAAAUCAAGUAGAAUGCUUCACAAGAUGUAAAAAUUCUUUCUGGCUUUGGAGUUUCAUGACAAAAGGUGAAAGGUGUGGUGCAGAGGUCAGGGCAGUUGCCUGAAAUGAAGACCUGAGUUCCAUUGCCUGAAUCCACAAGAUGGAAAGGACUUGACCCUCCACAUCCACAGGGGUGCUAUGGCAUGCAUCUCCCCACAACCCUGCAAAAUAAUACAUGUAAAACAUUUUUUUUGAAAAGAAAAUCGAUUUCU